This 765-nucleotide long non-coding RNA is filed under the name Trifolium pratense (red clover). RNAcentral's name for it is "long non-coding RNA (TPRA_LNC004205)". The record is from RNAcentral. Lineage: Eukaryota; Viridiplantae; Streptophyta; Magnoliopsida; Fabales; Fabaceae.
AAAUUUUUAUAAUUUUUACUAAUAAAUAAUUAAAAAUAUUCGUAAUCUUGACAAAAAAAAGUAUUUGUAAUCAAAAUCAUGUAUUGACAUACGUGCAGUUAGGACUGUUCAUUAAUAACUGUUAACUGAACCAAACCGUACAGAACUGAACCGGAAAUAACUGACCCAUACUAUAAGUUUACGAACCGAACCAUUAAUCUCAAGACAGUUCUCUAACUGUGAACCGAACUGUGAAUAACCUAACCGAACUGUGGAUAACCGAACCGAAAACUCAAAACUUAAAAGUUGUUCCCUAACUGUUUAUUCAUUUUUUUAAUUGUGUUUAACAGUUCGAUUCGAUUAACCGAUUAACUAAUCCAUAACUACAAUUAUAUUGUGUUUAACGGUUUGGUUCGGUUAACCGAUUAACAGAACUAUCAGUACAAUUCAAUUUAGUUUUGCUAUAAACCUUAACCGUUUGGUUCAGUUUGCCCGAACUGUACCAUGAACAGUCCUACAUACAGUGGUCAAUGAGUUCUUAUAUUUUGAAACAGAGGUAGUAAAUAAGUACUUCCUCUAUCUCAAAUCUUUGGUAUUUUGGGACUGCGUGCAGAAGUGAAAGGAAAGAGAAGGAAUUGAGUUCAAUACUAUCAUUAAUAAAUACAAGAUAAUUACAUAUGAAUGAAAGGCAAACGGGCAACAAGUUGCGCCGCUAACCCUUUUUGAAUGGCAAAAUCAAUUCUCUUAAAAACAACGGUCAUAGUUGUAGGGAACACAACAUUGUUA